Long non-coding RNA from Eriocheir sinensis (Chinese mitten crab), 2032 nucleotides. RefSeq lists it as uncharacterized. Lineage: Eukaryota; Metazoa; Arthropoda; Malacostraca; Decapoda; Varunidae. The transcript has 3 exons. The record is from RefSeq and is a predicted model, not a curated record.
AUGCCCGGCGAACCAACCACAGAAAAGCCACCUUCCUAGUCAGCCAGCUUCACCCUUGAUUGACUGUGAGACUCUUUAUCAACAAGACUCGAUCCUUGUAUUCAAAGUUUUGGUUUUGGUGUGCAUGAACAGAUAUCAGGGUAACUUUGGGUUAUUUUUGUGGUAUGUUGCUACUUGUUUAGUGCUUGAUUUCAGGGUUACUUGAGGUCUGUAUUGUGGUAUGUUGUUGCUUGUUAAGUGCUUGAUUUCAUGUUUCUUUCUUGUACCAUGUCUGCCUCUUGAUUUCAGGGUCACUUGAGGUCUUUCUUGUGGUAUGGUGGUUCUCGUUCAGCCUCUUGAUUUCACGUUUCUUUCUUGUAAUGUGUCUGCCUCUUGAUUUCAGGGUCACUUGAGGUCUUUCUUGUGGUAUGGUGGUUCUCGUUCAGCCUCUUGAUUUCACGUUUCUUUCUUGUAAUGUGUCUGCCUCUUGAUUUCAGGGUCACUUGAGGUCUUUCUUGUGGUAUGGUGGUCCUCAUUCAGCCUCUUUGUUUAUGUUCAGGAGUAAGGAACGGUCUCCUCAACACAGCCUGAGUCACUCCUGUUUUGUAUGGUAUAUAGCCACUUGUUUAGCCAAGGAACGGUCUCCCCAGCACACACCCUGAGCUACUCCACUUUCUCAAGUAUCCAGCCACUUGUUCAGCCUUUCAAGUGUUAUGUCAGGAGUACAAAAGCCUCCCACCAACACGAACUCCAUGGACUGUGGGAGGAGGACCUUGAGGUGAAGGGAAAUGACAAUGAGGUGUGGCUGUCAUUUGUUCAACUUCUCAGGUGUUGUGGUUAAGGAUGUGCCUCCCUAACACACACAACACCUCUCACACACACACACACACACACACACAACCAGUAUCUCCUUGCACUGAGGGAGGAAGAUGUUGAUGUGGAUGAAGAAGAAAGAGAUGGCGUAGUUGUCACUCCCUGGGCUGGCCACACACUGCUCCACACAAUCAACAACGGGUGAUAACAUCAGCUUACAGACAAUCUUAUCAGGAGCUAAUCUAACGCCCACCCGCCCUCUCCCUUUCCCUUCCUCCUUGGCCGUCUCUAUUCCAGGGAUCAGUAUGUCUUGAGAGGUGACUGGGAGGAGCUUCUGUGGCCCAAGACGAGAUGCUUAGGUAUAUCAGGGUGGGAUUAAACUUUUUGUGUUGAGGUGAACUUGAGCCGUGAGGGAAAGCCGUCACUGUUGGCUCAGAGAUGUGGCGUUCGGAGAUUGUGUUCCUGUUUUUCGUUUUCCGUUCCUGUUCUUGUUAAUUUUGUUCGUUUGGUUUCAUAUUCGUGUUCUUGUUAUCUUUUUGUUAUCACUGUUCUCUUUCCUGUUCGUCUUGUUCUUGUACUUUUUCUCUUUUUCUCUUCUUUUUCAAUUCUUGGUAGACGAUUUUGGGCCAGUCUGUUCCCGUUCUUGUUAAUUUUGUUGUGGUUUUUGUUCAUCUGUUUUCAUAUUCGUCUGUCUGUUUUUGAUUUCAUGUUUUUGUUAUCUUUUUUGUUAUCAAUGUUCUCUUUCUUGUUCAUCUUCUUGUACUUUUUCUCUUUUUUCUCUUCUUUUUCAAUUCUUGGUAGACGAUAUUGGGCCGGCGCGAGUGACCUACAGGAACAGUCAUGAGCCGGAAAUGUGUGGGAGGUGGACUAUGAACUGUGAGCACUGGAAUGUUAUAUUUAUAGUGCUUGUGAUAUGACUGGUGACUAAACAUGAUAAUAGUAAUGAUGAAUAGAAACCAGAAUGGAUCACCACCAGGGGAGGCAGUGGCUGAGAGGUUAACAUGCCAGCACAGUGUCCAGGAUGAUGCAGGUUCACAUCCCACCCACUGCCACAAGCUAGGAUUUUUCAGUCACCGCCGAGUGGCCUAAAACUACCCACAUGCUGCCCUGACGACCAACUAUCAACCCGGACUCUAGAUUCUCUCUCUAAAAGUGAGGAUCAAAAAUGGGCUCUGGGGGGCAAGCAAUAUGGCUCUACAAUAAAAACUUGCCUGUAUCAUUAACACGCUGGGGCCGACCA